This 253-nucleotide ribosomal RNA is filed under the name uncultured bacterium. RNAcentral describes it as "partial 16S ribosomal RNA". It matches the Rfam family "Bacterial small subunit ribosomal RNA", at positions 524 to 776 of the family's 1533-position model. The record is from RNAcentral.
UACGAAGGGGGCUAGCGUUGCUCGGAAUCACUGGGCGUAAAGCGCACGUAGGCGGCGUCUUAAGUCAGGGGUGAAAUCCUGGAGCUCAACUCCAGAACUGCCUUUGAUACUGGGAAGCUUGAGUCCGGGAGAGGUGAGUGGAACUCCGAGUGUAGAGGUGAAAUUCGUAGAUAUUCGGAAGAACACCAGUGGCGAAGGCGGCUCACUGGCCCGGUACUGACGCUGAGGUGCGAAAGCGUGGGGAGCAAACAGG